RNAcentral lists this ribosomal RNA (253 nucleotides) under uncultured bacterium. RNAcentral describes it as "partial 16S ribosomal RNA". It matches the Rfam family "Bacterial small subunit ribosomal RNA", at positions 524 to 776 of the family's 1533-position model. The record is from RNAcentral.
UACAGAGGGUGCGAGCGUUAAUCGGAAUUACUGGGCGUAAAGCGUGCGUAGACGGUUUCGUAAGUCGGGUGUGAAAUCCCCGGGCUCAACCUGGGAAUUGCAUUCGAGACUGCAUUGCUGGAGUACGGAAGAGGAAGGCGGAAUUCCCGGUGUAGCGGUGAAAUGCGUAGAUAUCGGGAGGAACAUCAGUGGCGAAGGCGGCCUUCUGGUCCAGUACUGACACUCAAGUGCGAAAGCGUGGGGAGCAAACAGG